GCAUUGGUGGUUCAGCAAUAGAAUCCUUGCCUUACAUGUAGGAGACCCAGGUUCGAUUCCCAACUUAUGCA
Molecule: transfer RNA, 71 nt
Filed under: Loxodonta africana (African savanna elephant)
Lineage: Eukaryota; Metazoa; Chordata; Mammalia; Proboscidea; Elephantidae
Rfam family: tRNA
About the family: Transfer RNA (tRNA) molecules are approximately 80 nucleotides in length.
Source: Rfam by way of RNAcentral